UACGGGGGGAGCAAGCGUUGUUCGGAUUUACUGGGCGUAAAGGGCGCGUAGGCGGUCGUGACAAGUCACUUGUGAAAUCUCCGGGCUUAACUCGGAACGGUCAAGUGAUACUGUCGGACUAGAGUACAGAAGGGGCAACUGGAAUUCUCGGUGUAGCGGUGAAAUGUGUAGAUAUCGAGAGGAACACCUGCGGCGAAGGCGGGUAGCUGGGCCGACACUGACGCUGAGGCGCGAAAGCCAGGGGAGCGAACGGG
Molecule: ribosomal RNA, 254 nt
Filed under: uncultured bacterium
Lineage: Bacteria
Description: partial 16S ribosomal RNA
Rfam family: Bacterial small subunit ribosomal RNA
Source: RNAcentral